RNAcentral lists this ribosomal RNA (1348 nucleotides) under Lacticaseibacillus rhamnosus E800. RNAcentral's name for it is "bacterial SSU rRNA". It matches the Rfam family "Bacterial small subunit ribosomal RNA", at positions 188 to 1520 of the family's 1533-position model. Lineage: Bacteria; Bacillati; Bacillota; Bacilli; Lactobacillales; Lactobacillaceae. The record is from RNAcentral.
GCAUGGUUCUUGGCUGAAAGAUGGCGUAAGCUAUCGCUUUUGGAUGGACCCGCGGCGUAUUAGCUAGUUGGUGAGGUAACGGCUCACCAAGGCAAUGAUACGUAGCCGAACUGAGAGGUUGAUCGGCCACAUUGGGACUGAGACACGGCCCAAACUCCUACGGGAGGCAGCAGUAGGGAAUCUUCCACAAUGGACGCAAGUCUGAUGGAGCAACGCCGCGUGAGUGAAGAAGGCUUUCGGGUCGUAAAACUCUGUUGUUGGAGAAGAAUGGUCGGCAGAGUAACUGUUGUCGGCGUGACGGUAUCCAACCAGAAAGCCACGGCUAACUACGUGCCAGCAGCCGCGGUAAUACGUAGGUGGCAAGCGUUAUCCGGAUUUAUUGGGCGUAAAGCGAGCGCAGGCGGUUUUUUAAGUCUGAUGUGAAAGCCCUCGGCUUAACCGAGGAAGUGCAUCGGAAACUGGGAAACUUGAGUGCAGAAGAGGACAGUGGAACUCCAUGUGUAGCGGUGAAAUGCGUAGAUAUAUGGAAGAACACCAGUGGCGAAGGCGGCUGUCUGGUCUGUAACUGACGCUGAGGCUCGAAAGCAUGGGUAGCGAACAGGAUUAGAUACCCUGGUAGUCCAUGCCGUAAACGAUGAAUGCUAGGUGUUGGAGGGUUUCCGCCCUUCAGUGCCGCAGCUAACGCAUUAAGCAUUCCGCCUGGGGAGUACGACCGCAAGGUUGAAACUCAAAGGAAUUGACGGGGGCCCGCACAAGCGGUGGAGCAUGUGGUUUAAUUCGAAGCAACGCGAAGAACCUUACCAGGUCUUGACAUCUUUUGAUCACCUGAGAGAUCAGGUUUCCCCUUCGGGGGCAAAAUGACAGGUGGUGCAUGGUUGUCGUCAGCUCGUGUCGUGAGAUGUUGGGUUAAGUCCCGCAACGAGCGCAACCCUUAUGACUAGUUGCCAGCAUUUAGUUGGGCACUCUAGUAAGACUGCCGGUGACAAACCGGAGGAAGGUGGGGAUGACGUCAAAUCAUCAUGCCCCUUAUGACCUGGGCUACACACGUGCUACAAUGGAUGGUACAACGAGUUGCGAGACCGCGAGGUCAAGCUAAUCUCUUAAAGCCAUUCUCAGUUCGGACUGUAGGCUGCAACUCGCCUACACGAAGUCGGAAUCGCUAGUAAUCGCGGAUCAGCACGCCGCGGUGAAUACGUUCCCGGGCCUUGUACACACCGCCCGUCACACCAUGAGAGUUUGUAACACCCGAAGCCGGUGGCGUAACCCUUUUAGGGAGCGAGCCGUCUAAGGUGGGACAAAUGAUUAGGGUGAAGUCGUAACAAGGUAGCCGUAGGAGAACCUGCGGCUG